This 253-nucleotide ribosomal RNA is filed under the name uncultured bacterium. RNAcentral describes it as "partial 16S ribosomal RNA". It matches the Rfam family "Bacterial small subunit ribosomal RNA", at positions 524 to 776 of the family's 1533-position model. The record is from RNAcentral.
UACGUAGGGUGCAAGCGUUGUCCGGAAUUAUUGGGCGUAAAGGGCUCGUAGGCGGUCCAUCGCGUUGGGAGUGAAAAGCUGGGGCUUAACCCCAGUCCUGCUUCCGAUACGGGUGGACUAGAGGUAGGUAGGGGAGAUCGGAAUUCCUGGUGUAGCGGUGAAAUGCGCAGAUAUCAGGAGGAACACCGGUGGCGAAGGCGGAUCUCUGGGCCUUACCUGACGCUGAAGCGCGAAAGUCAGGGGAGCGAACAGG